GUAGGGGAGCGUUCUGUAGGCUGAUGAAGGUGCAUUGAGAAGUGUGCUGGAGGUAUCAGAAGUGCGAAUGCUGACAUGAGUAACGAUAAUGUGGGUGAAAAGCCCACACGCCGGAAGUCCCAGGUUUCCUGCACGACGUUAAUCGGAGCAGGGUGAGUCGGCCCCUAAGGCGAGGCUGAAGAGCGUAGUCGAUGGGAACCAGGUUAAUAUUCCUGGACUUUUUAUAAGUGGUGAAGUGGGGACGAAGAAGGCUAGGUGAGCCAGGCGUUGGUUGUCCUGGUACUUGCAUGUAGGGGGGAAGACUUGGCAAAUCCGGUUUUCCAUAACUCUGAGGUGCGAAGUGGUUCUGACCUUUUGGUACAGAGAAGUCAUUGAUGCCCGGCUUCCAGGAAAAGCUGCUAGCCAUAACUUAUAGAGAACCGUACCGCAAACCGACACAGGUGGACAGGUAGAGAAUACUAAGGCGCUUGAGAGAACUCGGGUGAAGGAACUAGGCAAAAUGGUACCGUAACUUCGGGAGAAGGUACGCCCUUUUGGGUGAGGGCAUUUACUGUCUGAGCUUAAGAGGGCCGCAGAGACCAGGUGGCUGCGACUGUUUAUUAAAAACACAG
This 611-nucleotide ribosomal RNA is filed under the name Legionella pneumophila. RNAcentral describes it as "partial 23S ribosomal RNA". It matches the Rfam family "Bacterial large subunit ribosomal RNA", at positions 1228 to 1818 of the family's 2925-position model. The record is from RNAcentral. Lineage: Bacteria; Pseudomonadati; Pseudomonadota; Gammaproteobacteria; Legionellales; Legionellaceae.